CACAGUGUAGCAAUACAUGGGUGGCGACCGGCAAACGGGUGCGGAACACGUACGCAACCUUCCUUCAGGCGGGGAAUAGCCCAGAGAAAUUUGGAUUAAUACCCCAUAAUAUUUUGAGAUGGCAUCAUCUUAUUAUUAAAGCUACGGCACCUGGAGAUGGGCGUGCGGCUGAUUAGGUAGUUGGCGGGGUAAUGGCCCACCAAGCCUACGAUCAGUAGCUGAUGUGAGAGCAUGAUCAGCCACACGGGCACUGAGACACGGGCCCGACUCCUACGGGAGGCAGCAGUAAGGAAUAUUGGUCAAUGGACGCAAGUCUGAACCAGCCAUGCCGCGUGGAGGAUGAAGGUCCUCUGGAUUGUAAACUUCUUUUAUCUGGGACGAAAAAAGGGUUUUUCUAACUUGUCUGACGGUACCAGAUGAAUAAGCACCGGCUAACUCCGUGCCAGCAGCCGCGGUAAUACGGAGGGUGCAAGCGUUAUCCGGAUUCACUGGGUUUAAAGGGUGCGUAGGCGGGCAUUUAAGUCAGUGGUGAAAUACCUGAGCUUAACUUGGGAACUGCCAUUGAUACUAUUUGUCUUGAAUGUCGUGGAGGUUAGCGGAAUAUGUCAUGUAGCGGUGAAAUGCUUAGAUAUGACAUAGAACACCUAUUGCGAAGGCAGCUAACUACGCGAAUAUUGACGCUGAGGCACGAAAGCGUGGGGAUCAAACAGGAUUAGAUACCCUGGUAGUCCACGCCCUAAACGAUGAUUACUCGACAUUAGUGAUACACUGUUAGUGUCUGAGCG
RNAcentral lists this ribosomal RNA (785 nucleotides) under uncultured bacterium. RNAcentral describes it as "SSU rRNA". It matches the Rfam family "Bacterial small subunit ribosomal RNA", at positions 70 to 853 of the family's 1533-position model. The record is from RNAcentral.